AUUAGAAUGGCAGAGUCUAGUAAUUGCAAAAGAUCUAAAAUCUUUCAUUCAGGGGUUCAAUUCCCCUUUCUAAUU
Molecule: transfer RNA, 75 nt
Filed under: Pachyhynobius shangchengensis (Shangcheng stout salamander)
Lineage: Eukaryota; Metazoa; Chordata; Amphibia; Caudata; Hynobiidae
Description: tRNA-Leu
Rfam family: tRNA
About the family: Transfer RNA (tRNA) molecules are approximately 80 nucleotides in length. Their secondary structure includes four short double-helical elements and three loops (D, anti-codon, and T loops). Further hydrogen bonds mediate the characteristic L-shaped molecular structure. tRNAs have two regions of fundamental functional importance: the anti-codon, which is responsible for specific mRNA codon recognition, and the 3' end, to which the tRNAs corresponding amino acid is attached (by aminoacyl-tRNA synthetases). tRNAs cope with the degeneracy of the genetic code in two manners: having more than one tRNA (with a specific anti-codon) for a particular amino acid; and 'wobble' base-pairing, i.e. permitting non-standard base-pairing at the 3rd anti-codon position.
Source: RNAcentral